Molecule: long non-coding RNA, 126 nt
Organism: Amblyraja radiata (thorny skate)
Lineage: Eukaryota; Metazoa; Chordata; Chondrichthyes; Rajiformes; Rajidae
Exons: 3
Source: RefSeq, a predicted model, not a curated record
GGCUGAACCCAUUCAAAGCAUACUUGUCACAAUACAAUACACUUGUCAUACUGUGGUUAAAUCAAUCACAAACUUUAGUUACAAAACCCCUAAACAACAGGAACCUAUUCUAUCAUCUGCAGUUCC